This 492-nucleotide ribosomal RNA is filed under the name uncultured bacterium. RNAcentral's name for it is "partial 16S ribosomal RNA". It matches the Rfam family "Bacterial small subunit ribosomal RNA", at positions 29 to 507 of the family's 1533-position model. The record is from RNAcentral.
AGUGAACGCUGGCGGUAUGCCUAACACAUGCAAGUCGAACGGCAGCACAGUAAGAGCUUGCUCUUACGGGUGGCGAGUGGCGGACGGGUGAGGAAUACAUCGGAAUCUACUUUUUCGUGGGGGAUAACGUAGGGAAACUUACGCUAAUACCGCAUACCACCUACGGGUGAAAUCAGAGGAUCUUCGGACCUUGCGCGAUUGAAUGAGCCGAUGUCGGAUUAGCUAGUUGGCGGGGUAAAGGCCCACCAAGGCGACGAUCCGUAGCUGGUCUGAGAGGAUGAUCAGCCACACUGGAACUGAGACACGGUCCAGACUCCUACGGGAGGCAGAAGUGGGGAAUAUUGGAAAAUGGGCGCAAGCCUGAUCAAGCCAUACCGCGUGGGUGAAGCAGGCCUUCGGGUUGUAAAGCCCUUUUGUUGGGAAAGAAAAGCAGCAGGUGAAUCCACGGCUGUUCUGACGGUACCCAAAGAAUAAGCACCGGCUAACUUCGUG